AUUGAACGCUGGCGGCAUGCCUUACACAUGCAAGUCGAACGGCAGCGGACCUUCGGGUGCCGGCGAGUGGCGAACGGGUGAGUAAAGUAUCGGAACGUACCUUUCAGUGGGGGAUAACUGUCCGAAAGGACAGCUAAUACCGCAUAUUCUGUGAGCAGGAAAGCAGGGGAUCGCAAGACCUUGCGCUGAUUGAGCGGCCGAUAUCAGAUUAGCUAGUUGGUGAGGUAAAGGACUCACCAAGGCGACGAUCUGUAGCGGGUCUGAGAGGAUGAUCCGCCACACUGGAACUGAGACACGGUCCAGACUCCUACGGGAGGCAGCAGUGGGGAAUUUUGGACAAUGGGGGCGAACCCUGAUCCAGCCAUGCCGCGUGAGUGAAGAAGGCCUCGGUU
This 392-nucleotide ribosomal RNA is filed under the name uncultured bacterium. Its description in RNAcentral is "bacterial SSU rRNA". It matches the Rfam family "Bacterial small subunit ribosomal RNA", at positions 30 to 424 of the family's 1533-position model. The record is from RNAcentral.